AACGAACGCUGGCGGCGUACUUAACACAUGCAAGUCGGACGAGAAGGAAGCCUCGGCUUCUGAGUAAAGUGGCGUACGGGUGCGUAACACGUAAGUAAUCUACCCUGGACUCUGGGAUAACUCCCGAAAGGGGGGCUAAGACUGGAUAGAGACCUGAGGUGCAAGCCUUGGGAGAAACAAGCCUCUGCAUCAUGCUUGUGGUUCAGGAUGAGCUUGUGGCCCANAGCUAGUUGGCGGGGUAAUGGCUCACCAAGGCAACGAUGGGUAGCUGGUCUGAGAGGACGAUCAGCCACACUGGCAC
RNAcentral lists this ribosomal RNA (301 nucleotides) under uncultured bacterium. RNAcentral's name for it is "bacterial SSU rRNA". It matches the Rfam family "Bacterial small subunit ribosomal RNA", at positions 29 to 319 of the family's 1533-position model. The record is from RNAcentral.